AUUUAAAGUCUAACCUGCCCAAUGAGUAGUUGAAUGGCCGCAGUAUUUUGACUGUGCAAAGGUAGCAUAAUCAUUAGUUUCUUAAUUAGGAACUGGAAUGAAAGGUUGGACGAGAAAAUAACUGUCUCUUUAUAAAUUAUUUAGAAUUUUAUUUUUAAGUUAAAAAGCUUAAAUUUUUUUAAAAGACGAGAAGACCCUAUAGAGUUUUAUAUACUUUUAUUUAAUAAUUUAAAUUGAAUUUUUAAAAUUUUAUUUAAAAUUAUAUUUGAUUGGGGUGAUUAAAAAAUUUAUUGAACUUUUUUUUUAUAGAAACAUUAAUUUAUGAAUUAUUGAUCCAUUUAUAAUGAUUAUAAGAUUAAAUUACCUUAGGGAUAACAGCGUAAUUUCUUUUUAGAGUUCAAAUCGAUAAAGAAGUUUGCGACCUCGAUGUUGGAUUAAAAUUUAAUUUUGGUGUAGAAGCUAAAAAAAUUAGGUCUGUUCGACCUUUAAAAUUUUACAUGAUCUGAGUUUAAACCGGUGUGAGCCAGGUUGGUUUCUAUCUUUAAAUAAUUUAAAUAUUUUAGUACGAAAGGACCAAAUAUUAGUAAAAUUUAU
Molecule: ribosomal RNA, 594 nt
Filed under: Atheta aeneipennis
Lineage: Eukaryota; Metazoa; Arthropoda; Insecta; Coleoptera; Staphylinidae
Description: partial 16S ribosomal RNA
Rfam family: Bacterial large subunit ribosomal RNA
Source: RNAcentral